Molecule: long non-coding RNA, 907 nt
Filed under: Capsicum annuum
Lineage: Eukaryota; Viridiplantae; Streptophyta; Magnoliopsida; Solanales; Solanaceae
Description: long non-coding RNA (CANN_LNC020820)
Source: RNAcentral
ACCCUACUUGGUUUCCUGUCUCCUUAGAACUCAAGGAUACCGUGCUACGAGCCUAUACAACAGAUCCUGUUCAUGUAAGGUCGCGCCCGUCCAAGUUGCUGUGAUGUUAUAUAAAAGACUACCUUCCCUAACUAACCAAGUCGAUGACUAUAGCAACAAAAGCUGUGAUUUCGUAUUAGAUGCCUUUAUUUUUUAAGGUUAGUACACAAUUGAUUCACAUGAAUUAUAUUAUUUGAAAGAUUAUUAGUUUGGGUCAUGUAUUCUAAAGUUUCUUCUUAAGAGAUACAUAAGAGUGAUUGCCAUUGGAAGAGAGAGGCUCUUGAGAAAGUGGGCACAAAGCAAUUCAUUAGCCCAUAAUUUAGACCACCAGAGUAAUACUUGUUAGACCUUGAAUUGGGGUAGGGGCCGCGCCAUGAGACUAGAACGUGAUUAACCGGCCUCCAUGGCCUUUGGGUCAUGGUGUCAUAGAUGAUCGUUCUCGGCUUGGUUUGCUGGGCUUGAGCUACUGCGACAAAUAGGUACAGUGCUAUGGAAGUCACCAAAGAAAGUAACUUCGGAGAGAAAACGGGUAAACAUCGAUUCUGAGAAUUGAGCUCUAGCAAAAAAUUUUGGUAGUAGUCUGUCAGACAGCCACGAGACCACCUCAAGCCCAGCGAACCAAGCUGAGAACGAUCAUCUACAACACCAUGACCCAAAGGUAAUGGAGGCCAGUUAAUCACGCUCUAGUCUCAUGGCUUCAAUUCAUCCACCAGACUUAGUUUCCUGUCUCCUUAGAAGUCAAGGAUACAGUGGUACGAGCCUAUAGAACAGAUCCUGUUCAAGUAAGGUCGUGCCCAUCUGAGUUGCUGCAACAACAUAUAAACACUUGGCUGCCUCGCUAGCUUAUCGAUGUGGGACACGAGGUGGG